CAGCACCUCAAGUGGUCAGGAUGAUUAUUGGGCCUAAAGCAUCCGUAGCCGGCGCUGUAAGUUUUCGGUUAAAUCUGUACGCUCAACGUACAGGCUGCCGGGAAUACUGCAGCGCUAGGGAGUGGGAGAGGUAGACGGUACUCGGUAGGAAGGGGUAAAAUCCUUUGAUCUAUUGAUGACCACCUGUGGCGAAGGCGGUCUACCAGAACACGUCCGACGGCGAGGGAUGAAAGCUGGGGGAGCAAACCGGAUUAGAGACCCGAGUAGUCC
This 270-nucleotide ribosomal RNA is filed under the name uncultured archaeon. RNAcentral's name for it is "partial 16S ribosomal RNA". It matches the Rfam family "Archaeal small subunit ribosomal RNA", at positions 477 to 747 of the family's 1478-position model. The record is from RNAcentral.